Culex pipiens (northern house mosquito) is the source of this 46-nucleotide regulatory RNA element. It matches the Rfam family "Histone 3' UTR stem-loop". Rfam says of the family: The mRNAs of metazoan histone genes lack a poly-A tail. 3' end processing occurs at a site between a highly conserved stem-loop (modelled by this family) and a purine rich region around 20 nts downstream (the histone downstream element, or HDE). The record is from Rfam. NCBI's taxonomy places the organism in Eukaryota, Metazoa, Arthropoda, Insecta, Diptera, Culicidae.
GAAACGGCCCUUUUCAGGGCCACUGAAAUUUUACGAAAGAGUUAUU